ACCGCGUUAACCAUUUUUUAAGCUUUCUGGACGAUAACCGGAGCUGUCCAGCCUUCUGGAUGUCGAGUGGUCUCUGUCCACUCUGUUUGAUGCCUCCCUGUACGACUCAUCGCCGCCCUCCGGGGCGGCUUUCUUUUU
This is a non-coding RNA of Methylobacterium sp. 4-46, 138 nucleotides long. NCBI's taxonomy places the organism in Bacteria, Pseudomonadati, Pseudomonadota, Alphaproteobacteria, Hyphomicrobiales, Methylobacteriaceae. The record is from Rfam.